Molecule: ribosomal RNA, 505 nt
Filed under: uncultured microorganism
Description: bacterial SSU rRNA
Rfam family: Bacterial small subunit ribosomal RNA
Source: RNAcentral
GAGUUUGAUCAUGGCUCAGGACGAACGCUGGCGGCGUGCUUAACACAUGCAAGUCGAACGAGAAUCUACUGAAAGAGUUUUCGGACAAUGGAAGUAGAGGAAAGUGGCGGACGGGUGAGUAACGCGUGAGGAACCUGCCUUGAAGAGGGGGACGAACAGUUGGAAACGACUGCUAAUACCGCAUGAUGCAUAAGGGUCGCAUGAUUCUUAUGCCAAAGAUUUAUCGCUUCAAGAUGGCCUCGCGUCUGAUUAGCUAGUUGGCGGGGUAACGGCCCACCAAGGCGACGAUCAGUAGCCGGACUGAGAGGUUGAACGGCCACAUUGGGACUGAGAUACGGCCCAGACUCCUACGGGAGGCAGCAGUGGGGAAUAUUGGGCAAUGGGCGCAAGCCUGACCCAGCAACGCCGCGUGAAGGAGAAGGCUUUCGGUAUGUAAACUUCUAUCAGCAGGGAAGAAAAUAGACGGUACCUGACUAAGAAGCCCCGGCCUAACUACGUGCCAGCA